UGCAGUUGAACGCUUCUUUCUUAUCGAACUUCGGUUCACAAAGAAAGAAGAGUAGCGAACGGGUGAGUAACACGUGGGUAACCUGCCCAUCAGCGGGGGAUAACACUUGGAAACAGGUGCUAAUACCGCAUAAUACUUUUUCUCUCAUGAGUGAAAGUUGAAAGGCGCUUUUGCGUCACUGAUGGAUGGACCCGCGGUGCAUUAGCUAGUUGGUAGGGUAACGGCCUACCAAGGCAACGAUGCAUAGCCGACCUGAGAGGGUGAUCGGCCACACUGGGACUGAGACACGGCCCAGACUCCUACGGGAGGCAGCAGUAGGGAAUCUUCGGCAAUGGACGAAAGUUUGACCGAGCAACGCCGCGUGAGUGAAGAAGGUUUUCGGAUCGUAAAACUCUGUUGUUAGAGAAGAACAAGGAUGAGAAGAGAAUGUUCAUCCCUUGACGGUAUCUAACCAGAAAGCCACGGCUAACUAC
RNAcentral lists this ribosomal RNA (473 nucleotides) under uncultured bacterium. RNAcentral's name for it is "bacterial SSU rRNA". It matches the Rfam family "Bacterial small subunit ribosomal RNA", at positions 56 to 504 of the family's 1533-position model. The record is from RNAcentral.